Molecule: ribosomal RNA, 444 nt
Filed under: uncultured bacterium
Lineage: Bacteria
Description: partial 16S ribosomal RNA
Rfam family: Bacterial small subunit ribosomal RNA
Source: RNAcentral
GUAUGGAAUAUUGGGCAAUGGUCGGAAGACUGACCCAGCCAUGCCGCGUGCAGGAAGACGGCCCUCUGGGUUGUAAACUGCUUUUAUCUGGGAAGAAAAAGGCCAUGCGUGGCAAAUUGCCGGUACCAGAUGAAUAAGCACCGGCUAACUCCGUGCCAGCAGCCGCGGUAAUACGGAGGGUGCGAGCGUUGUCCGGAUUUAUUGGGUUUAAAGGGUGCGUAGGCGGCUGAUUAAGUCAGCGGUGAAAGACUUCGGCUUAACCGGAGCAGUGCCGUUGAUACUGGUUGGCUUGAGUGUCGGAGGGGUACAUGGAAUUGAUGGUGUAGCGGUGAAAUGCAUAGAUACCAUCAGGAACACCGAUAGCGAAGGCAUUGUACUGGCCGACAACUGACGCUGAUGCACGAAAGUGUGGGGAUCGAACAGGAUUAGAAACCCUAGUAGUCC